AUGGGCUGCAUUAAAAGUAAAGAAAACAAAACUCCAGCCAUUAAAGAUAGAACUGAAAACCCUCCAGAACCUGUCAGUACAAAGUGUCAGCCAUUAUGGAGCAGAACCUUCAGCAAAGGGAACAUCAGUUAAUUUUAGCAGUCUUUCCAUAACGCCAUUUGGAGGAUCCUCAGGGGUGACACCUUUUGGAGGAGCAUCUUCCUCAUUUUCAGUGGUGCCAAGUUCAUAUCCUGCUGUUUUAACAGGUGGUGUUACUAUCUUUGUGGCCUUAUAUGAUUAUGAAGCUAGAACUACAGAAGACCUUUCAUUUAAGAAGGGUGAAAGAUUUCAAAUGAUUAACAACACGGAAGGAGACUGGUGGGAAGCAAGAUCAAUUGCUACAGGAAAGAUUGAUUAUAUCCCUAGCAAUUAUGUAGCGCCUGCAGAUUCCAUUCAGGCAGAAGAACGGUAUUUUGGCAAAAAUGGGAAGGAAAGAUGCUGAAAGAUUACUUCUGAAUCCUGGUAAUCAAUGAAGUAUUUUCUUAGUAAGAGUGAGUGAAACUACUAAAGGUGCUUAUUCCCUUUCCAUUCGUGAUUGGGAUGAAGUAAGAGGUGACAAUGUAAAACACUACAAAAUUAGGAAACUUGACAAUGGCGGAUACUAUAUCACAACCAGAGCACAAUUUGAAACUCUGCAAAAAUUAGUGAAACACUAUACAGAACAUGCUGAUAGACUAUGUCACAAAUUAACGACUGUGUGUCCAACUGUGAAACCUCAGACUCAAGGUCUAGCAAAGGAUGCUUGGGAAAUUCCUCGAGAAUCUUUAUGGCUAGAGGUUAAACUAGGACAAGGGUGUUUUGGUGAAGUAUGGAUGGGAACAUGGAAUGGAACAACAAAAGUAGCAAUCAAAACACUAAAGCCAGGUACAAUGAUGCCAGAAGCUUUUCUUCAAGAAGCUCAAAUAAUGAAAAAAUUAAGACAUGAUAAACUUGUUCCACUAUAUGCUGUCGUUCCUGAAGAGCCAAUAUACAUUGUCACUGGAUUUAUGUCAAAAGGGAGCUUAUUAAAUUUCCUUAAGGAAGGAGAUGGAAAGUAUUUGAAGCUUCCACAACUGGUUGAUAUGGCUGCUCAGAUUGCUGAUGGUAUGGCAUAUAUUGAAAGAAUGAACUAUAUUCACUGAGAUCUUUGGACGGCUAAUAUUCUUGUAGGAGAAAAUCUUGUAUGCAAAAUAGCAGAUUUUGGGUUAACAAGGUUAAUUGAAGACAAUGAAUGCACAGCAAGACAAGGUGCAAAAUUUCCAAUCAAAUGGACAGCUCCUGAGGCUGCCCUGUAUGGUCGAUUUACAAUAAAGUCUGAUGUGUGGUCAUUUGGAAUUCUACAAACAGAACUGGUAGCAAAAGGCAGAGUGCCAUAUCCAGGUAUGGUAAACCGUGAAGUGCUGGAGCAGGUGGAACGAGGAUACAGGAUGCCCUGCCCUCAGGGCUCUCCAGAAUCCCUCCAUGAUUUGAUGAAUCAGUGUUGGAAGAAGGACCCUGAUGAAAGACCAACAUUUGAAUAUAUACAGUCCUUCUUGGAAGACUACUUCAUUGCUACAGAGCCACAGUACCAGCCAGGAGAAAAUUUAUAAUCCAAGUAGCCUAUUUUAUAUGCAGAAAUCUGCCAAAAUGUAAAGAACUUGUGUAGAGUUUCUCAUGUACAGGAAUCAAGAGAAGAAAAUCUUUACUCUGCAUGUUUUUCAUGGUAAACUGGAAUUCCAGACAUGGUUGCACAAACCCACCUUUUUUCCCACAAGUGUUAAACUCUAAAGUACCAAUGAUGAAUUUUCCAACUUAUUUCAGGGUCCAAAGGAAACAGAACUAAGAUACUGGUGAUAGUGUGGUGUAAUAGCAUGGUAAUGAAGAACAGCGAAGCUACUGCUCAAAAAUCAUUCUUUCUUUCAUUCCCCAAACUCAGAAUUGUUAAGAGGAAAUUAUUUAUUGUUAUAGACAAAACUUGGGAAAUAAAAAGUUAAUAUCAUAAUAAUAUCUAAAAUUAAAGAAUGUCAUAGGACCAAAUAACUCCAUUCCAGUUUUUAAAAAUUUCUUGCAUUUAUUAUUCUCGAAAGUUUUUCUUAAGUUAAAUAGUCAGUAUGCAAUAUUAAUAUAUGCCUCCUUUUGCAUGGAAAUGGGCCAAGUUUUUCAGAAACAAAAAAGGAAUAUAGAUAGCAUCUAAAACUUGACUAAAUGUUAG
This is an RNA transcript of Nycticebus coucang (slow loris), 2209 nucleotides long. It is a transcript of the gene named tyrosine-protein kinase Yes-like, with no coding region annotated. The record is from RefSeq and is a predicted model, not a curated record. Lineage: Eukaryota; Metazoa; Chordata; Mammalia; Primates; Lorisidae. The transcript has a single exon.